RNAcentral lists this ribosomal RNA (273 nucleotides) under uncultured bacterium. RNAcentral describes it as "partial 16S ribosomal RNA". It matches the Rfam family "Bacterial small subunit ribosomal RNA", at positions 524 to 796 of the family's 1533-position model. The record is from RNAcentral.
UACGAAGGGGGCUAGCGUUGUUCGGAUUUACUGGGCGUAAAGCGCACGUAGGCGGAUCGUUAAGUCAGGGGUGAAAUCCUGGAGCUCAACUCCAGAACUGCCUUUGAUACUGGCGAUCUUGAGUCCGGAAGAGGUGAGUGGAACUCCUAGUGUAGAGGUGGAAUUCGUAGAUAUUAGGAAGAACACCAGUGGCGAAGGCGGCUCACUGGUCCGGUACUGACGCUGAGGUGCGAAAGCGUGGGGAGCAAACAGGAUUAGAAACCCCUGUAGUCC